Molecule: ribosomal RNA, 116 nt
Filed under: Aspergillus udagawae
Lineage: Eukaryota; Fungi; Ascomycota; Eurotiomycetes; Eurotiales; Aspergillaceae
Also listed under: 2 other names
Source: RNAcentral
ACGACCAUAGGGUGUGGAAAACAGGGCUUCCCGUCCGCUCAGCCGUACUUAAGCCACACGCCGGCCGGUUAGUAGUUGGGUGGGUGACCACCAGCGAAUCCCGGCUGUUGUAUGUU